Molecule: ribosomal RNA, 661 nt
Filed under: Frigoribacterium sp. S37
Lineage: Bacteria; Bacillati; Actinomycetota; Actinomycetes; Micrococcales; Microbacteriaceae
Description: bacterial SSU rRNA
Rfam family: Bacterial small subunit ribosomal RNA
Source: RNAcentral
AUUAGAAUACCUUGGUAGUCCAUGCCGUAAACGUUGGGAACUAGAUGUGGGACCAUUCCACGUCUCCGUGUCGCAGCUAACGCAUUAAGUCCCCGCUGGGGAGUACGGCCGCAAGGCUAAAACUCAAAGGAAUUGACGGGGGCCCGCACAAGCGGCGGAGCAUGCGGAUUAAUUCGAUGCAACGCGAAGAACCUUACCAAGGCUUGACAUAUACCGGAAACGGCCAGAGAUGGUCGCCCCGCAAGGUCGGUAUACAGGUGGUGCAUGGUUGUCGUCAGCUCGUGUCGUGAGAUGUUGGGUUAAGUCCCGCAACGAGCGCAACCCUCGUUCUAUGUUGCCAGCACGUUAUGGUGGGAACUCAUAGGAGACUGCCGGGGUCAACUCGGAGGAAGGUGGGGAUGACGUCAAAUCAUCAUGCCCCUUAUGUCUUGGGCUUCACGCAUGCUACAAUGGCCGGUACAAAGGGCUGCGAUACCGUAAGGUGGAGCGAAUCCCAAAAAGCCGGUCUCAGUUCGGAUUGAGGUCUGCAACUCGACCUCAUGAAGUCGGAGUCGCUAGUAAUCGCAGAUCAGCAACGCUGCGGUGAAUACGUUCCCGGGCCUUGUACACACCGCCCGUCAAGUCAUGAAAGUCGGUAACACCCGAAGCCAGUGGCCUAACC